RNAcentral lists this ribosomal RNA (449 nucleotides) under uncultured bacterium. RNAcentral describes it as "partial 16S ribosomal RNA". It matches the Rfam family "Bacterial small subunit ribosomal RNA", at positions 29 to 523 of the family's 1533-position model. The record is from RNAcentral.
AGCGAACGCUGGCGGCAGGCCUAACACAUGCAAGUCGAACGAAGUCUUCGGACUUAGUGGCGGACGGGUGAGUAACACGUGGGAACGUACCUUUUGGUUCGGAACAACUCAGGGAAACUUGAGCUAAUACCGGAUAAGUGCUUUGGGGGAAAGAUUUAUCGCCAUUAGAGCGGCCCGCGUUAGAUUAGCUAGUUGGUGAGGUAAAGGCUCACCAAGGCUACGAUCUAUAGCUGGUCUGAGAGGAUGAUCAGCCACACUGGGACUCAGACACGGCCCAGACUCCUACGGGAGGCAGCAGUGGGGAAUCUUGCGCAAUGGGCGAAAGCCUGACGCAGCCAUGCCGCGUGAAUGAUGAAGGUCUUAGGAUUGUAAAAUUCUUUUACCAGGGACGAUAAUGACGGUACCUGGAGAAAAAGCCCCGGCUAACUUCGUGCCAGCCGCCGCAGUAA